RNAcentral lists this ribosomal RNA (448 nucleotides) under uncultured bacterium. Its description in RNAcentral is "bacterial SSU rRNA". It matches the Rfam family "Bacterial small subunit ribosomal RNA", at positions 329 to 792 of the family's 1533-position model. The record is from RNAcentral.
GACCAGACUCCUACGGGAGGCAGCAGUGGGGAAUAUUGGGCAAUGGGCGCAAGCCUGACCCAACAACGCCGCGUGAAGGAAGAAGGCUUUCGGGUUGUAACUUCUUUUCUCAGGGACGAAGCAAGUGACGGUACCUGAGGAAUAAGCCACGGCUAACUACGUGCCAGCAGCCGCGGUAAUACGUAGGUGGCAAGCGUUAUCCGGAUUUACUGGGUGUAAAGGGCGUGUAGGCGGGGACGCAAGUCAGAUGUGAAAACCACGGGCUCAACCUGUGGCCUGCAUUUGAAACUGUGUUUCUUGAGUACUGGAGAGGCAGACGGAAUUCCUAGUGCAGCGGUGAAAUGCGUAAAUAUUAGGAGGAACACCAGUGGCGAAGGCGGCUUACUGGGCUUUAACUGACGCUGAGGCUCGAAAGCGUGGGUAGCAAACAGGAUUAGAUACCCCGGUA